Molecule: ribosomal RNA, 946 nt
Filed under: Trametes sp.
Lineage: Eukaryota; Fungi; Basidiomycota; Agaricomycetes; Polyporales; Polyporaceae
Description: partial large subunit ribosomal RNA
Rfam family: Eukaryotic large subunit ribosomal RNA
Source: RNAcentral
UGUUUCCCCNGUGGAAACUAAGCAUAUCAAUAAGCGGAGGAAAAGAAACUAACAAGGAUUCCCCUAGUAACUGCGAGUGAAGCGGGAAAAGCUCAAAUUUAAAAUCUGGCGGUCUUUGGCCGUCCGAGUUGUAGUCUGGAGAAGCGUCUUCCGCGCUGGACCGUGUACAAGUCUCUUGGAACAGAGCGUCAUAGAGGGUGAGAAUCCCGUCUUUGACACGGACUACCAGUGCUUUGUGAUGCGCUCUCAAAGAGUCGCGUUGUUUGGGAAUGCAGCGCAAAAUGGGAGGUGAAUUCCUUCUAAAGCUAAAUAUUGGCGAGAGACCGAUAGCGAACAAGUACCGUGAGGGAAAGAUGAAAAGCACUUUGGAAAGAGAGUUAAACAGUACGUGAAAUUGCUGAAAGGGAAACGCUUGAAGUCAGUCGCGUCGUCCGGAACUCAGCCUUGCUUCGGCUUGGUGCACUUUCCGGUUGACGGGCCAGCAUCGAUUUUGACCGCUGGAAAAGGGCUGGAGGAAUGUGGCACCUUCGGGUGUGUUAUAGCCUUCAGUCGCAUACAGCGGUUGGGAUCGAGGAACGCAGCGCGCCUUAUGGCUGGGGUUCGCCCACAUUCGCGCUUAGGAUGCUGGCAUAAUGGCUUUAAACGACCCGUCUUGAAACACGGACCAAGGAGUCUAACAUGCCUGCGAGUGUUUGGGUGGAAAACCCGAGCGCGUAAUGAAAGUGAAAGUUGAGACCUCUGUCGUGGAGGGCAUCGACGCCCGGACCUGAAGUUUUCUGACGGAUCCGCGGUAGAGCAUGUAUGUUGGGACCCGAAAGAUGGUGAACUAUGCCUGAAUAGGGUGAAGCCAGAGGAAACUCUGGUGGAGGCUCGUAGCGAUUCUGACGUGCAAAUCGAUCGUCAAAUUUGGGUAUAGGGGCGAAAGACUAAUCGAACCCUCUAGGUU